RNAcentral lists this ribosomal RNA (253 nucleotides) under uncultured bacterium. RNAcentral describes it as "partial 16S ribosomal RNA". It matches the Rfam family "Bacterial small subunit ribosomal RNA", at positions 524 to 776 of the family's 1533-position model. The record is from RNAcentral.
UACGAAGGGGGCUAGCGUUGUUCGGAAUUACUGGGCGUAAAGAGCUCGUAGGCGGUCUGUCGCGUCGGCUGUGAAAACCCGAGGCUCAACCCCGGGCCUGCAGUCGAUACGGGCAGACUAGAGUGCGGUAGGGGAGACUGGAAUUCCUGGUGUAGCGGUGAAAUGCGCAGAUAUCAGGAGGAACACCGGUGGCGAAGGCGGGUCUCUGGGCCGUAACUGACGCUGAGGAGCGAAAGCGUGGGGAGCGAACAGG